UUUCUGCUGGAUGUAAUUAUAAUUUUCAUGACUAGGAUUGAGUGGUUCCCACAAAUAAUAAUAUUAAUCUAAAGGUUAAAAAUGAUUAAAGGGACUGAUCUAAGGAUCAAAAAGUCAGAAAUAUCAUAUACUCUAUUUUUUCAAUAGUAUGAUAACUUUAUAUAUAUAUAUAUAGAUAUAGAGUUUUUCUAGAAUACUAUCGGUAGUAAACGGCUCGGUUUACUACCAAUUUAUUUUCUAUGAUAGAGCUUCCAAAUUGAUGAUCGGCACCGUUAAACAUGAUUUAAACUAUUUAAACUAUCUGGAAAUCAAAUUUCACAUAUUUUCGAUAUUGUUCUCUUGUCCAUCAAGUGGACAGAAAAAUGAAUGGCUGGAAAUGAAUAUUCUUUAAAAAGUGAUGAUACAAUUUUUAUAUUUGAAAUCUAGAGUCUAGAUCUUAUUUUAAAUAGUUUAAAGAAUUUUCUAACAAAAAUUUAGUUGAUUUGAACUCUUCUAUACCGUUAAACAAGCAAACGCACCAUAUCGGCCAUUAAAAUUAUAGAUUUUGUGUCCCUUUGAUCGUUCAGUUAGUGAUGCCAAAAAAUCAUAAAAUUUGAUUUCUAGAUAAUUUAAAUGGUCUAGAUCAUGUUGAACGGUGUCGAUCAUCGAUUUGGAAGCUCUAUCAUCAAAAACAAAUCGGUAGUAACCUGAGCAGUUUACUAGUAAACUGAGCAGUUUACUACCGAUAGUAGCCCAGUCAAACUCUCUCUCUAUCUCUCUCUAUAUAUAUAUAUAGGCUUGGGCUACUAUCCUAUUAAAGGAUAGUAGCACUUGUUCUAUCAAAUUGUUCUUGAUGAUAAAGAUUCUGAAUCGAUGAUCGGAGCCGUUGAAGUUGAUCUAGAGUAUUUGAAAUAUCUAGAAACUAAAUUUCAUAAAUUUUAAAAAUUAUUUACAUGGUGAUCAAAGUGUCGUAAAAUCGAUAAUUUUUGACGGCCUAUAUGAGCCGUUUGUUUGUUUAACGGUGUAGAUUAAUCCAAAUUAUUUGAAUUUUUGAUAAAUUUUUUUUUAUACUAUUUAUAUAAUGUUUGAUAAUUUUGAUUAUGAAUUGAGAAAGUCUGACCUCUUUUUUAAGAAGGUUAUUCAUUUAUGACCGUUCAUUUUUCAACUCCUAAGAUGAACUUGAUGAUAAUUUUUAAAUAUUACAAAAUUUGGUUUCUAAAUAUUUCUAAUUGUGUAGAUUAAUUUCAACGAUACCGAUUAUCAAUUUGAAGUUUUGAUCAUUCAAAUCAACUUGAUAGGACAAUGUCCUUAAUCCUAUUAAUAGGAUAGUAGAUGAACUCUCUAUCUCUCUCUCUCUCUCUAGAGUUUUUCUAGAAUACUAUCGGUAGUAAACGGCUCGGUUUACUACCGAUUUAUUUUCGAUGACAGAGCUUCGAAAUUGAUGAACGGCACCGUUAAACAUGAUCUAAACUAUUUAAAUUAUCUGGAAAUCAAAUUUCACACUUUCGAUAUUGUUCUCUUUCCAUCAAGUGAACAGAAAAAUGAAUGACUGGAAAUGAAUAUCCUUCAAAAAGUGAUUGAUACAAUUUUUAUAUUUGAGAUCUAGAGUCUAGAUCUUAUUUUAAAUAGUUUAAAGAAUUUUCUAAUAAAAAUUUAGUUGAUUUGAACUCUUAUAUACCGUUGAACAAGCAAACGCACCAUAUCGGCCAUUAAAAUUAUAGAUUUUGUGACACUUUGAUCGUUCAGUUAGUGAUGCCAAAAAAUCAUGAAAUUUGAUUUCUAGAUAAUUUAAAUGGUCUAGAUCAUGUUGAACGGUGUCGAUCGUCGAUUUGGAAGCUCUAUCAUCAAAAACAAAUCGGUUGUGAACCGAGCAAUUUACUAGUAAACUGAGCAGUUUACUACCGAUAGUAGCCCAGUCAAACUCUCUCUCUAUCUCUCUCUAUAUAUAUAUAUAGGCUUGGGCUACUAUCCUAUUAAAGGAUAGUAGCACUUGUUCUAUCAAAUUGUUCUUGAUGAUAAAGAUUCUGAAUCGAUGAUCGGAGCCGUUGAAGUUGAUCUAGAGUAUUUGAAAUAUCUAGAAACUAAAUUUCAUAAAUUUUAAAAAUUAUUUACAUGGUGAUCAAAGUGUCGUAAAAUCGAUAAUUUUUGACGGCCUAUAUGAGCCGUUUGUUUGUUUAACGGUGUAGAUUAAUCCAAAUUAUUUGAAUUUUUGAUAAAUUUUUUUUUAUACUAUUUAUAUAAUGUUUGAUAAUUUUGAUUAUGAAUUGAGAAAGUCUGACCUCUUUUUUAAGAAGGUUAUUCAUUUAUGACCGUUCAUUUUUCAACUCCUAAGAUGAACUUGAUGAUAAUUUUUAAAUAUUACAAAAUUUGGUUUCUAAAUAUUUCUAAUUGUGUAGAUUAAUUUCAACGAUACCGAUUAUCAAUUUGAAGUUUUGAUCAUUCAAAUCAACUUGAUAGGACAAUGUCCUUAAUCCUAUUAAUAGGAUAGUAGAUGAACUCUCUAUCUCUCUCUCUCUCUCUCUCUCUCUCUCUCUAUAUAUA
Molecule: long non-coding RNA, 2520 nt
Filed under: Ananas comosus (pineapple)
Lineage: Eukaryota; Viridiplantae; Streptophyta; Magnoliopsida; Poales; Bromeliaceae
Description: long non-coding RNA (ACOM_LNC006319)
Source: RNAcentral